Homo sapiens (human) is the source of this 725-nucleotide long non-coding RNA. Ensembl annotates it as long intergenic non-protein coding RNA 293. The record is from Ensembl. Lineage: Eukaryota; Metazoa; Chordata; Mammalia; Primates; Hominidae.
AACCAGAGAGAUUGUGACAUAUUGCUGUACCCAAGGAAUCAAAUCCGAGUUCGUCUACAGCUGAUUCGGCAGGUACCAGGGCGUCCGCGAUGGUGAGUGAUAGCACCGCGAUGGUGGUAUUGCUCCAUAUGCCUGAGACCCUAACAAAAGCCUAAUUACAACUCAUAUGCCUGGAGCCAGGACAUGUGCAGGAUGGUGAUGUAACUUUCCUCUCUGGAAUGGGUCCUGCACAAAGGAAUGAUAGUAACAUAUUGCAAAGCCAGACACACAGACUCUGCCAAGAGAGGGGAUUAUUACAUAUUGCAGAGCCCAGCACCUAGGUGGAGUGACUCUCAUCUUUUUCUUCUACCCCGUAUAUAGCCAGCUUGGUGACCUACUAUUUGAGUCUAUACCCAGGCCCAGACCACAGAUGAAAUUGUGCAAUAUGUGGAACAAACACCUAAACAAUAUAUAACACCUUCCUUGGCUCUGUCUACAAAGGGCACUUUUAUAUAUCACUGGGACCAUCAACCAGGUGAUGUUAAUUAUCUUCCUGAAACCUGUCUACAAAGAGAGUUGUGUCGUAUACCUAGGCCCGUCAUGUAAGUGAUGUCAGUCCCUUCUACUGCCUUGGCCCUGCACUUACAGUGCAUUGUGACACAUAACAAGGUACUGCACACAGACGAUGUGAUUCUCCUUUUUGGGUUCUGCCAAAAGGAAGCAUUGUAAUAAAUCGCUUGGCUCAG